ACGGGAGGCAGCAGUGAGGAAUAUUGGUCAAUGGGCGGAAGCCUGAACCAGCCAAGUCGCGUGAAGGAAGAAGGUAUUAUGUAUUGUAAACUUCUUUAGCAGCAGAGUAAUAAGGAGGUCGAGACCUCUGACGCAAGUAUGCUGAAAAUAAGGAUCGGCUAACUCCGUGCCAGCAGCCGCGGUAAUACGGAGGAUCCGAGCGUUAUCCGGAUUUAUUGGGUUUAAAGGGUGCGCAGGCGGCCCGUUAAGUCAGUGGUUAAAUCGUGAGGCUCAACCUCAUCACGCCAUUGAUACUGGGGGGCUUGAUUGCGGUUGAGGUUGGCGGAAUUCGUCGUGUAGCGGUGAAAUGCAUAGAUAUGACGAAGAACACCGAUUGCGUAGGCAGCUGACCAAGCCGUAAAUGGCGCUCAUGCACGAAAGUGCGGGGAUCGAACAGGAUUAGAUACCCUGGUA
RNAcentral lists this ribosomal RNA (453 nucleotides) under uncultured Porphyromonadaceae bacterium. RNAcentral describes it as "partial 16S ribosomal RNA". It matches the Rfam family "Bacterial small subunit ribosomal RNA", at positions 341 to 792 of the family's 1533-position model. The record is from RNAcentral. Lineage: Bacteria; Pseudomonadati; Bacteroidota; Bacteroidia; Bacteroidales; Porphyromonadaceae.